GCAUACAAUCCAAUGGAGAGACGGUUGGCAUCUCCCCAAAUAGGGGUGGGAACGGCCUUCGGGCUUCUUGUUGCCUAACGCAUGUGGUUAAGCCUACCCGCUUAGGCGGAUCUUAUCCAAAUUUUUUA
Molecule: small nuclear RNA, 128 nt
Organism: Dendrobium catenatum
Lineage: Eukaryota; Viridiplantae; Streptophyta; Magnoliopsida; Asparagales; Orchidaceae
Source: RefSeq, a predicted model, not a curated record